GUGCCAGCAGCCGCGGUAAUACGAGUGGUGCUAGCGUUAUUCGGAUUUAUUGGGCGUAAAGGGUGCGCAGACGGUUUGUUAAGUCACUUGUUAAAUUCUUUGGCCUAACUGAAGGUAUGCGAGUGAAACUAAUAAACUAGAGGGUGGAAGAGAGAAGUGGAAUUCUCGGAGUAGCGGUAAAAUGCGUAGAUCUCGAGAGGAACACCAAUGGCGAAGGCAGCUUCUUGGUCCACUCCUGACGUUCAUGCACGAAAGCGUGGGGAGCAAACAGGAUUAGAUACCCUGGUAGUCCACGCUGUAAACGAUGAUCACUAGACGUUAGUUCUGCUUGCAGAAUUAGUGUCGUAGCUAACGCGUUAAGUGAUCCGCCUGGGAAUUACGGUCGCAAGACUAAA
Molecule: ribosomal RNA, 395 nt
Filed under: uncultured bacterium
Lineage: Bacteria
Description: bacterial SSU rRNA
Rfam family: Bacterial small subunit ribosomal RNA
Source: RNAcentral